CAAUAGCGUAUAUUAAAGUUGUUGCGGUUAAAAAGCUCGUAGUUGGAUUUCUGUUGAGAAGGGCCGGUCCGCACUUUGUGUGAGUAUCUGGUGCCGUCUUGGCAUCCUGUUAGAGAUCGUAACUGCGCUUGACUGCGUGGUGCGGAAUUUAACACUUUUACUUUGAGGAAAUUAGAGUGUUCACGGCAGGCCACCGCCUUGAAUACAUUAGCAUGGAAUAAUAAGAUAGGACUCUUGUUCUAUUUUGUUGGUUUCUAGAGCGAGAGUAAUGAUUAAUAGGGAUAAUUGGGGCAUUUGUAUUAACGCGUCAGAGGUGGAAUUCUUGGAUUGCGUUACGACAAACUACUGCGAAAGCAUUUGCCAAGGAUGUUUUCAUUGAUCAAGAACGAAAGUAUGGGGAUCGAAGAUGAUUAGAUACCA
RNAcentral lists this ribosomal RNA (420 nucleotides) under uncultured eukaryote. Its description in RNAcentral is "bacterial SSU rRNA". It matches the Rfam family "Eukaryotic small subunit ribosomal RNA", at positions 592 to 1017 of the family's 1831-position model. The record is from RNAcentral.